Molecule: long non-coding RNA, 1826 nt
Filed under: Homo sapiens (human)
Lineage: Eukaryota; Metazoa; Chordata; Mammalia; Primates; Hominidae
Description: non-protein coding lnc-ARID2-6:1
Source: RNAcentral
AAAUAUCUCAGAAUGGUUAAAACAUUUAAAAGCAGACUACCCACAAAGGAAAUAGAAUUAAGCAUCUGAAGAGCAACACAUGAGUUUCCACAAAACUUAAGAGAAAAUGAUUUCAAAUCUAGAAUCUUAUACUCAGAUUAACUAUUAGUUAAAGGUGAGGGAAAAUCAUGGCAUUUUCAGGUUUAUAGUAAUGGCUAAUAUUUAAUGAACUCUUACUAUGAGCCAGUUGUAUCUCCAUGCUCGUUGCAAUUAUUAACUUAUUUAUUUUAUACUCAGAACAGCCCAGCUAGUUCGGUACUAUUAUUAUCACUGGUUUUACAAAUGAAAAACCAGAAGUAUAGAGAAGUUGAGAAACCUGCCAAAGAUCAUGCCACUCGUAGAAGGCAGAGUUGGGUUUUGAAUCCAGGAAGUUUGGCUGCAGACUCUACACUCUUAACUACUACACAACAGUGCCACUCUGUUGGUCAGGCACUCAGAAAAUUUAUGUCCCAUGUAGCCUCUUUGAAAAAAAAAAUGCUUGAGGAUAUACUACAAUAAAAUGAAAAAGGAAGUCAAGAAAGAGGGAAGCGUCAGAUCCUAGAAAGAGUGGCACUAACCUGGGGGUCAGGCCAUUUCAGGACAACAGCAUGUCUAUGAAAUUAAAACAGAAAAUCAGAACAUUCCAUGAAAAAAUGUCAUCAAAAGAGAAAGAUUCUAUUGUUCGAAUUGUAUGAUUAAAACCCUGAAGUUCUUAAUAGUAAAAUGAUGGCGUGUAUUUCCCCUGGAAACAAGAAAAAAGAAAAGCAAUUGAGAACUCAAUGAUGAGCCAUUUUUUGGAGUGAAAGAAAAGAGAAUAUUCAGAACAUUCUCAUUCUAAAGGGGUAGAUUUAUUCCAUGAACAUUUCUGUCUUUAUGAGUCCAAUCAUACCAUUUGUUUCUUCAAUGUGUAAUAUUUACUUACUCAAUAUUGUAAAUGCAAUUUACUGCUUUUCCAUUUGUAGUUAAUUAUAGGAAAAGCAUGGAAAACUUAAUUACACUUUCUGUAGACUAGAAAGAAAAUAAUAAAAGCCUUAUAAUAUACAAGUACUGUCACAGUUAAUAGAAGACAAAAGGAAGAAAGAAGAGGAGAGGUGUAUGCAGGGGAAAUCAAGGUGUACUUAUUUCUCCAUUUUAUAGAGCAAUGAGUUAGCAAAUAGAAAUACAGAAUAUCACAAAUGUAUAAAGGUAAACAUUAAAAUAGGUAAACACAUACCUGUGAAAGCUGUCAGAAUCAAAAUGGAGUCACUAAUGUUAAGAAAACUUUGACUAAUAGAGCCCAGGAAGGCCAUAAAGAAAGGGCUCUCACAUUUGUAUGCCUGCCUGAUGGCAAAAAAAGAUGCUACAAAAACCACAAUUUCAGACAAAGGCCAUUGCAACCUUAUACACAAAAAAAACUUAUGCCAGGACAUCUGCCCAGCAGCUGCCUAUCUAAACUCGGACUGGCAACACCCUUAUUAUUGAUCUUUGUAGCCAAGGAUAAUUAUUUCAAAACAAUUAUGUAAUCUUCUUCACUUUUUCCUUUAAAAACCUUUGUCAGGCUGGGCGCGGUGGCUCACUCCUGUAAUCCCAGCAUUUUGAGAGGCCGAGGUGGGUGGAUCACGAGUUCAGGAGUUCAAGACCAGCCUGGCCAACAUGGUGAAACCCCGUCUCUACUAAAAAUACAAAAAAUUAGCCGGGUGUUGUGGCGGGUGCCUGUAAUCUCAGCUACUCAGGAGACUGAGGGAGAGAAUUGCUUCAACCAGGGAGGCAGAGGUUGCAGUGAGCCGAGAUCGCACCACUGCACUCCAAUCUGGGCAAGAGAACGUCUC